GACGAACGCUGGCGGCGUGCUUAACACAUGCAAGUCGAACGGAAAGGCCCUGCUUUUGUGGGGUGCUCGAGUGGCGAACGGGUGAGUAACACGUGAGUAACCUGCCCUUGACUUUGGGAUAACUUCAGGAAACUGGGGCUAAUACCGGAUAGGAGCUCCUGCUGCAUGGUGGGGGUUGGAAAGUUUCGGCGGUUGGGGAUGGACUCGCGGCUUAUCAGCUUGUUGGUGGGGUAGUGGCUCACCAAGGGUUUGACGGGUAGCCGGCCUGAGAGGGUGACCGGCCUCAUUGGGACUGAGAUAGGGACCAGACUGCUAUGGGAGGCAGCAGUGGGGAGUAUUGUACAGUGAGCGGGAGCGUGUUGAAGCGGCGUCGGGUGCGGAAUGACCGUCUUCGGGUUGUGAACCGCUUUAGGUUGUGACGAAGCGUGAGUGACGGUAAUGGGUAAAGAAGCACCGGCUAACUUCGUG
Molecule: ribosomal RNA, 468 nt
Filed under: uncultured bacterium
Lineage: Bacteria
Description: partial 16S ribosomal RNA
Rfam family: Bacterial small subunit ribosomal RNA
Source: RNAcentral